Molecule: long non-coding RNA, 1035 nt
Filed under: Monodelphis domestica (gray short-tailed opossum)
Lineage: Eukaryota; Metazoa; Chordata; Mammalia; Didelphimorphia; Didelphidae
Description: lncRNA (ENSMODG00000050028.1)
Source: RNAcentral
GAAUAGAGUUUGGUGAGGGAAGAGUGGGGAGAGUCCUGGGCUCAUGCCUCUGGCUUUCACAGGCUUUGGAACUGGGAACAACAGGCCUCAUCCCCAACACUGCUGAGGAGCACAUCCACUAAUGAACAUCAAUCACUCCUGCAACUUCUCCAGUGCUGACUAUAGAUGCAAUGUGGUCGGCCUGCAGGCUCCAGUGGUCAUCAUCCCAGUAUUGCUGUCCUCUUCCACACUGAUUAUGGUUGGCUGCAUCGUAUGGAAGACAUGCAGGAGGUGGAGGACAACUGGCCAGUGCCCACCGCCCCAGUGACCGCUUUGUUGCAGGUGCCUGAGGAGAAAGUGUGGUGUUUUCCUGGAACCAUCUGCUCACUUCCCACCCAACUUGGGCCUAUCUACCACCAUCAACAUAUCAUGGCAGCGACACUCCCUUCUAUUUGAACCAACGACCCAAAUAUGAACCUGCAGGUAGAGACACAGACCUGAUAAUUCAAUAGCUGUCACCAUCUUCAUUUUCUACCUGGAAUGGUCAAGGCAAAAAAGUUAUAAAUAGCAGCCUAAAGGAUUGUUUUUCAUCCAUUCAUUCAACAAAUAUAUGCUGAGCAAGAUGAUCCAUAUACUUUUUCAUAAAACCCUCACCUUCCACCUUGGAAUCAGUACUGUGUAUUGGCUCCAAGGCAGAAGAGUGGUAAGGGCAAAGUAAGUAGCAAUGGGGGUCAAGAGACUUCCCAGGGUCACACAGCUGGGAAGUGUCUGAGGCCAGAUUUGAACCCAGGACCUCCUGUCUCGAGGCCAGGCUCUUAAUCCACUGGGCUACCCAGCUGCCCCUGGGCCAUAGACUUCUAUAUAGUAGGCUUUCAGCAAAUGUUUAUUGAGUUCAUGAAGGAUGUUAAACCAGAUUCUGAGUUUUUCCAUUACCAUCCAACACUCACAUGGCUCUCCAUCUUCUCUGCAUUUUUCCCCCUAGAGCAGUGUUGGUGGACCUAUGGGAUGUGUGCCAGAAGGGGCUGCUUCCUUACCCCUUUCCAAAUGUGCCUGAAG